GGGGGCGAAUGGGCUCGACGGGGUGAUUGCGAGGCUUAAGGGCAUAGCGAGGCUCUCUAUCGCCUCGUUAAAGAUUGAUAGAGAAAAAACAGCUGCCAACAGCAGCUACGCACUGGCGGCAUAAUAAGACCGCCAACUCUUCCUGCCUUUUCACCCGAGGCAGGAAAGGGUGAGAGACUGGGUGAUGCGGUCGUUGUCUGCGUCUCAGGGACAAUGACCUAAGAGACUCUGAGACUGGUCAACCUUUGCCUGUCGGUUGGCGAGAAGGUUGACGAGAUGAGAUAAACCGACUAACUAUGUAGAACUUAAGCCUCAAACUCUCCGGACGCGGGUUCGAUUCCCGCCGCCUCCAUUG
This 355-nucleotide transfer-messenger RNA is filed under the name bacterium. RNAcentral's name for it is "DTDR01 sp025060715 X1 Standard tmRNA". It matches the Rfam family "transfer-messenger RNA". From Rfam's summary of the family: Bacterial tmRNA, also known as 10Sa RNA or SsrA, is named for its dual tRNA and mRNA-like properties. Its role is to liberate the mRNA from a stalled ribosome. RNAcentral also lists the same sequence under 1 other name. The record is from RNAcentral.